RNAcentral lists this transfer RNA (53 nucleotides) under Peliosanthes ophiopogonoides. Its description in RNAcentral is "partial tRNA-His". Lineage: Eukaryota; Viridiplantae; Streptophyta; Magnoliopsida; Asparagales; Asparagaceae. The record is from RNAcentral.
CUGGAUAAGGGGCGGAUGUAGCCAAGUGGAUCAAGGCAGUGGAUUUGUGAAUC